This is a long non-coding RNA of Brassica napus (rape), 1864 nucleotides long. RefSeq lists it as uncharacterized. The transcript has 2 exons. The record is from RefSeq and is a predicted model, not a curated record. Lineage: Eukaryota; Viridiplantae; Streptophyta; Magnoliopsida; Brassicales; Brassicaceae.
CUCACUACAAGAAAAAGGAGCUAUUGUUACGAUUUUUUGAGACUAGAUUUCUUAGUCACAUAUUUGUGACAUAACAGACACUGAUUUGUAACUGAUCUUUUAUGUCAAAAAAGAGUAGUUAUUUGGUCACAAUAUUGUGACCGGUUUUGCUGUAACCAAAUUAUGUCACAUUUAGUGACAUAAAUAUGACAAAAAUAAAUGAGACAAAAAAUGUGACAUAAUUGUAACUAUGUUUAUUGUUACCAUGGCGACAACUAUGCGAGUCUGUGACUAAAGGUUAUGACUCCGUUUAUAUACUAAAUGUUUGUGAUCAAAAAAUUGAAAAGGAUAACAAAUAAAAAAUGUUGUAACUUUUCAAGCACACAAUUAUUUGGAUGAUCUUGUAAGUUUUAUUUAUGUAGCUCCAGUUUUAACCAUAGUUUAUCAUUGGUUUCAAAAAAUAAACCAUGAUUUAUCAUUUUUCUUUUGUGGUUGAAUAUGAAACCUUUUUAUAGACUAAUCCCUAAACUUAAACCCUAAACUUAAUUUUACAUACAAAAUAAUUAAUUUGAUCUUUUAAAAUUUAGAAAUUAAUUCUUAAACUGUAACUUCAAAUAUAUAUUUUAAAAAUUUAAACCUAUAUACUCCAAACACUUAAUCCUGAAUCAAAUAAGUUAAGUCCAAAUCUCAAGUCUAAACCCUAAACUACAUCAAACCCUAUAUCAUAAAUCUGAACUUCAAAUAUAGUUUUUAAACUUUAAUUGUUUUUAAACAUAACUUCAAAGUUUGUUUUCUUAAAAAUCUUAAAUCCCAAGUUUUUUUAACUUAAACUUUUAACCUUACAUAUACUUCAAACCAUAUACUCAUACUUAACCUUAUAUCUUAAGACAUUAAGUCAUAUACAUACUUCAAACUAUUUUUAAAUAUUUUCUAAAUUUUAAACUUAAACCUCAAACUCCAAAUCAUAUAUCAUAAAUUUCAUUUCUAAAUCUAUUUUUCAUAUCUAGAACUAUAUAACAUGUACUCUAAAACUUAUAAUUUUAAUAACACUUUUUUUUUAUCAACAAUAAAACUUAUAAUAAACAUAAAAACUAAAGAAAAAUUAGAAACCAAAAUUAUAUCGCUGUACGAAAUGAGAUUAGAAACAAAAACUCUAAAACAACUAACAUUAAAGAAUAAAACUUGUUGACAAAAAAAAGAAGAAUAAAACUUAUUCUGUCAGUUGAGAAAUAAAGUAUAACAGCCAAAAAGUUCCUAUUGGCUGAUUCACAAGCACAAGGAUCAAGCUUUUCACCGUCGGAUGAAAUUGGAUCCAAUGGACCAAAGUUAUUCCUUUUCUUCAGAUCUCCAUUCAUAUGCUUCCUUAACUGCUGGCCUCCGCAUCUCCGCUCUUCUCAUUCGUCAGAAGAUCUCUGCUCCGUGUACCCUCGCAAGAGCUCUGCCUUCAUCGCUCUCCAUCUUCUACCGCCUCCGUUAAUGGUCGUUUAUUAUAAGUUUUACUUCCAUCAUCUCUCUUCUGCAUGGCUUUUAUUUUGGUGCAGGUUGAAUAAUUGGAUGAGUGAUCUCUCUGUCUUCCAUCAUUUGAUGUCACGCUCGCCGUCCACCACCACUCCACCACGGAAGGUGAUGAUGCAGAAGAAGCUUGAUGGUGGAUGAGACAAGACCAGCGGUGGUCGCAGUGGCUGUUGUGCGGCGGAGGCAAGGCCAGACAUGGCGGCUGCAGGAGGCAAGGCGAGGCACGCAUGGCUGCUUAUUUUUUUUAGGGUUGAAUUGUUUUUUAUGAUUUGGUUUAGUUAUCUAAACCGAAUUUUAUUUUAAACCAAUUUCAUUUUGUAAACCGAGUUAUAUUUAUUUCGAUUUAUAGACAGUAACCAAUUGAAACUGA